Molecule: ribosomal RNA, 497 nt
Filed under: uncultured bacterium
Lineage: Bacteria
Description: partial 16S ribosomal RNA
Rfam family: Bacterial small subunit ribosomal RNA
Source: RNAcentral
GAUGAACGCUGGCGGCGUGCCUAAUACAUGCAAGUCGAGCGGACGGACGAGAAGCUUGCUUCUCUGAUGUUAGCGGCGGGCGGGUGAGAAACACGUGGAUAACCUACCUAUCAGACUGGGAUAACUUCGGGAAACCGGAGCUAAUACCGGAUAAUAUUUUGAACCGCAUGGUUCGAAGGUGAAAGACGGUCUUGCUGUCUCUUCUAGAUGGAUCCGCGCUGCAUUAGCUAGUUGGUAAGGUAACGGCUUACCAAGGCAACGAUGCAUAGCCGACCUGUGAGGGUGAUCGGCCACACUGGAACUGAGACACGGUCCAGACUCCUACGGGAGGCAGCAGUAGGGAAUCUGCCGCAAUGGGCGAAAGCCUGACGGAGCAACGCCGCGUGAGUGAUGAAGGUCUUCGGAUCGUAAAACUCUGUUAUUAGGGAAGAACAGAUGUGUAAGUAACUGUGCACAUCUUGACGGUACCUAAUCAGAAAGCCACGGCUAACUACGUG